AAGGCGUAUCCCGAAAAGCCUGUAUUAAAAGAGUAGGGA
This 39-nucleotide non-coding RNA is filed under the name unclassified sequences. RNAcentral's name for it is "DUF805b RNA". It matches the Rfam family "DUF805b RNA". Rfam says of the family: Bacteroidetes, Chlorobi (1 example), Proteobacteria. Lineage (Flavobacteria) The record is from RNAcentral.